CCUACGGGGGGCUGCAGUGGGGAAUAUUGCACAAUGGGGGAAACCCUGAUGCAGCAACGCCGCGUGAGUGAUGACGGCCUUCGGGUUGUAAAGCUCUGUCUUCAGGGACGAGAAUGACGGUACCUGAGGAGGAAGCCACGGCUAACGACGUGCCAGCAGCCGCGGUAAUACGUAGGGGGCGAGCGUUGUCCGGAUUGACUGGGCGUAAAGGGAGCGUAGGCGGACUUGGAAGUGAGAUGUGAAAUACGCGGGCUCCACUUGAGUGCUGCAUUUCAAACUGGAAGUCUAGAGUGCAGGAGAGGCGACUGGACUUCCUAGUGUAGCGGUGCACUGCGU
RNAcentral lists this ribosomal RNA (336 nucleotides) under uncultured bacterium. RNAcentral describes it as "partial 16S ribosomal RNA". It matches the Rfam family "Bacterial small subunit ribosomal RNA", at positions 338 to 691 of the family's 1533-position model. The record is from RNAcentral.